AGGGUAACAUAAUAGAGGGGUGCUAGCUGCAUAGAUCGACUGAAGGCACAGCUCAAAGAAAGUUCAGUUUACACCUUUGAAAUGUUCAUGGUUGUUGAUACAUGGAGGAAGUACAAGAUAACAGAUUAUCCAUACGAAAUCAAGAUUACUCAUCGCUCAAAGAUCCAAUAGAUUAUCCCACUUGAGGUCCUCCAAGCAUGUACUGUCGACAACACACUUCUAUAUGAUGUUGGUUUAGUGGAUGUGGUGACAGAUAUCAUACCAUAAGAAACAAAUCAAGACCCAAGAACAAAUAUUCACCUUAUCGACACAAGAUUGUGGGCAAUCAUGGAUAGGAGAUACAAUUGAUGUUUAGUAAUAUUCACUUCAUGCUGCUACAAGAGCAACGAAUGGCAAUUAAUAAAUUACAUGGAUGGUGUCAACCUAUAGCUUCCGUGUAUCCAAGUGGCUCUCCUAAAUUUAACUUGCAGCAGUCCAACUCAGCGGGAAGGAAAUUUAAGGAAAAAGCCUUCGCCGAAGGCCAAAAAGGCUUCUCCAAAAGCCGCCUCUAUCUCCGAUGAGGACUUCUACAUCGGCGCCUCCCCUCCUUGCAGUCUCCGUUUCGAUUCUGCAGGGGCUUUCUUACAAGCUACGGAGAAUUUGGGAUUUGUUUAUGCACAUAAAGUGCAUAUUUAAUGGAAAUGGAAGACAUUGGAAGAUCUUGUUUUAGCCGCAGAGGGUGGAGUAUCUGAAAAUAUAGACAGUGAAUUUGAUUUUGAUUUGGAAAAUAUUAGUACCGAUGCUGAGUUGCAGGAAAUAAAGUGCCUGUUUUGUUCUCAAAAUAUUACCAUAGGUACAAUUAUCCCUCCGAUGUUCCUUGUUGCUCUAAUCUCAAGGGAGAUUAUCUUAGUUGAUGGAUAUAUAAGGAUAUGUAUUGGUUUCUAAAUUCAAGCAUACAUGGUAAAUAGUCCUUGUGGAGGGGGCAUAGCAUCACAGAAGCGUUGGCGAGGUACACGGUGGGUACGGAGAUCACAAUUGGGCUUGUCAAAUCUACCUGGAAGCCUAAAUUUGUAAGGAUGUUCAGAACAUAUCAAUAGACACAGUAGAAUGGAUCGGAAUUAGAAGGUUCGAUUCAUUUGAAGCAAAAUACAGACUGCAACGUUCAUACUGAAGUUCAGAAGAGAUAUGAUGACAUGUUAUAUAGGUAUAGCUGAAGCUUAUUAGACUAAUUAUUGUAGAAUACAAAUACAUAGAUCUUUGAGAUGGCUGAAUUAGGAUGGCUAGCUGUAGGGCAUCGAGCUAUACAUUAUUUUGUUGCUUAAAGCAUAUGAAUAUGCAGAAAGACCGAGCACCGCCGAAAAUAGAGAUUGUGGCCUAGCCAAGGGUACAUCUUGUUUUAUCAGUGGUGGAGCAGAGCAUAUCCACGUCAAAACC
Molecule: long non-coding RNA, 1413 nt
Organism: Lolium perenne
Lineage: Eukaryota; Viridiplantae; Streptophyta; Magnoliopsida; Poales; Poaceae
Source: RefSeq, a predicted model, not a curated record